AUUGAACGCUGGCGGCAGGCCUAACACAUGCAAGUCGAACGGUAACAGGAAGCAUCUUGCUGCUUUGCUGACGAGUGGCGGACGGGUGAGUAAUGUCUGGGAAACUGCCUGAUGGAGGGGGAUAACUACUGGAAACGGUAGCUAAUACCGCAUAACGUCGCAAGACCAAAGAGGGGGACCUUAGGGCCUCUUGCCAUCGGAUGUGCCCAGAUGGGAUUAGCUAGUAGGUGGGGUAACGGCUCACCUAGGCGACGAUCCCUAGCUGGUCUGAGAGGAUGACCAGCCACACUGGAACUGAGACACGGUCCAGACUCCUACGGGAGGCAGCAGUGGGGAAUAUUGCACAAUGGGCGAAAGCCUGAUGCAGCCAUGCCGCGUGUAUGAAGAAGGCCUUCGGGUUGUAAAGUACUUUCAGCGGGGAGGAAGGGAGUAAAGUUAAUACCUUUGCUAAUUGACGUUACCCGCAGAAGAAGCACCGGCUAACUCCGUG
Molecule: ribosomal RNA, 490 nt
Filed under: uncultured bacterium
Lineage: Bacteria
Description: partial 16S ribosomal RNA
Rfam family: Bacterial small subunit ribosomal RNA
Source: RNAcentral